This 435-nucleotide long non-coding RNA is filed under the name Salmo salar (Atlantic salmon). Its description in RNAcentral is "lncRNA (ENSSSAG00000113567.1)". The record is from RNAcentral. Lineage: Eukaryota; Metazoa; Chordata; Actinopteri; Salmoniformes; Salmonidae.
CCUAGCGGUGUCAGAUUGGUGACAGGGAGUCUAGAGGUGUCAGAGUGGUGACAGGGGGUCUAGCGGUGUCUGAGUGGUGACAGGGAGUCUAGAGGUGUCUGAGUGGUGACAGGGUCCCUAGCGGUGUCAGAGUGGUGACAGGGGGUCUAGCGGUGACAGAGUGGUGACAGGGAGUCUAGAGGUGUCAGAGAAGUGACAGGGAGUCUAGCGGUGUCAGAGGGGUGACAGGGAGUCUAGCGGUGUCAGAGAGGUGACAGGGAGUUGAAACUAGAUUCACUCUGAAAAACAAUGCUCUUGCUGAGCCACUAUCACAGAAUAAUAACAUCAUUUUUCAGAGGCACGUAAGAUAAGGCCAAAUAGAUCAAUCUGAUUCUCUCUCGCUGUUUACCAUGGUGAUUGUUAUCCAGUCAAUUUAACAAUCUGAUUCUCUCUCAU